Molecule: long non-coding RNA, 2731 nt
Filed under: Mus musculus (house mouse)
Lineage: Eukaryota; Metazoa; Chordata; Mammalia; Rodentia; Muridae
Description: long non-coding RNA chr18:9716438-9719169
Source: RNAcentral
GGGGGGCAUGGUAGAACACUUUUAAUGCCACCACUUGGGAGGUAGAGGCAGGUCUCUGUUAGUUCAAGGCCAUCCUGGUCUACUCGUGAGUUCCAGGAUAACCAGGGUGACUUAGAGAGACUCUGUCUCAAAAAACAAAAACAAAGACCAAAAAAUCAGAAGAAGAAGAAGGAGGAGGAGGAGGGGGAGGGGGAGGAGGAGGAGGAGGAGGAGGAGGAAGCAUACUGCUAAGUGUCAGCUUUCACUUCUUGGUGUCUUUUGGCUGGUAACUGCUGAGUGACCAUGCCUUCCCACCAUGGUGGAUGGUAUCCUAAAACCAUGGCUCAAAUAGACCCUUACUUAAACUUUUGACAAAAAUGUGGCAAAUACAAAGUCGUUGAAGAAAAUGUCUUCAAAGAAAAGCAGAGGAUGAAAUUGGGCUACUGUGAUAUCAAGUGUGAUUGAUAUUCUAGGCAUAAGAAGAUCAAAUUCAAAGUACUCCCAGGUCCUGGUAGUAUGACCAUCUAUCCUAUCUACUAGACUAAAGGAGAAGGAUCACAAGUUCAAGGCUAUUCUAGGCAAUUUAGUCAAAGGGGGUAUGCCAUCCCACUUGUAGAGUGUUUGCCAAGAAUAUAUGUGCUCAUAAGAGGAAUUACAAGCACCACCCCCCAAAAGUUUCACCAACCUUGGUAAUUGUUUAGAAUAUUGCUUUAAUAUAACUUAAAAUAAUCUAAACUUUAAUUUCAAAACAGUAAUAAAUACUUGGGGCAAGCAAUACUCUUUACAAAUAAUUUUUGGAGGAUUUCAUACAUGAGCAUUUAUAUCAUUUCCAUCUGCCCUCUCCCCCCUCUAACUUUUCUCACAUCCUCCUACUCUCUCUCAAAUUCAUAACAUCUUUUAAAAUUAUUGUUACACACACACACACACACACACACACACACACACCAUGCACAAUACCCUAUUUAGUGUUGCUCAUAUUUCCAUAUGUGUUUAUGGCUAGCCACUUGGAUAACUCAGCCCUGGAGAAUGGAUGGGUGUCUGUAAAUACUUGUAUACAUACAUAUGUACAUAUAUACAUAUGACCACAUACAGGUAAAUGCAUAUAUGGAUUUCUAAACAUAUUCAUGUAUUUCUAAGCAAAGGAUAUAGUUCAGAGGUAGAAUGCUUGUCCUAGGCUGAAUCCUCAGUCCUGGGGAAAGACAUAAGAGAAAUCUCCUGAAAUAAUAAUAUAGCUUUUUGGCUUGUUUUGGGGGCUGAGAAUCAAAUCCAAGGCCUUAUACAUGCUAAGCAUAUAUUCUAUCACUGAGCCACACCCUCAUCCCAUAUACCUUUGAUUAUUGCCAACUAUCUCUUUUGUUGUUGGGUUUUUUAGUUGUAGAUGGUUGGUUGGUUUUUGGAGGAAGGGUCUCCUGUCACUUCGGAUGGCCUCAUAGUUACUAUGUACCCAAGGAUAGCCUUGAAUAUCUGUUCCUCUUGCCUCUACCUUCCAAGAUCCUUAACUAUUGCCUUCCCUCAGAGACUAUUGAUAAAAUUUCCCAAAUGCUCAGCAAAUAGAGUCAAGCCUAUGACUUGUUUGGGCAUCUAGGAAUGUCAGGAAAAAGAAAAAUUCAAAGGCUGAUGGGACUUGCAAAUAUUGGGGCAAAAGCCAUAGGAAAAAGGAUGAAUAGUUUAUAUUUUUGUAUGUUCUAGAGGACAAAAGGCUAUGGUGUGGUCCUAAACUACUAAUAUUUCAAUUAAGAUAAAUAGCCCUACUUAACCUAGUAGUGCAGACCUGUAAUUCCAUCUUCUCAGGCAGGAGGAUCACAAACUCAAGGCUACAGAGUGAGUCAAAUGAAAGUAACUUAAAAAAAAAAAAGUAAAAAUCAGGCAGGGGAUAUAGCUCAGUGCAAGAGGGCUUACUUAGCACACACUGGGCUUUGGUUGGAUCUCCAGGACCACAAACAGCCAAUAAUUAUGUGCAGUAUUAUGUUCAGUUCUCAAAAGAUUUUUUUCUCACACUUUAUAGAGCAAGCUAUUUGUCCUAGGUUGUCUUCACAGUCCAGUGCCCACAAAGGAGAUACAACAAAGCCAGUCUUUGCAGCCUAAUCUCUUUACAGCUUGCCACUCUCUGAAAUGUGUUUUUGUUUUUAUUUUCUCACUUUUUUGUCCCUGAAAGGAGCAGUGUUGCUCUCCCACAGUUCAUACCAUAUAACUAUGAUGCGUGCCUUGCCACCCAGGGCCAGUUGUGGACAGCCUAGAACCUCUGAAAACCUGAGACCUCUGCAGCUUGGAACUCUUUACACAAACCAGGCUGGCCUUGAAUUCACAGUGGCUUUUCCUCCUUUACUUUCUGAAUGUUGGGUAUGAGUAUACAUUACCAUACAUGGCUCACCUUCUCCUCUCCUCCUCCUCUUCUUCCUCCUCCUUCCUCUUCCUCCUCCUACUCCUUUUCUUUAUGUGUUUUAAAUUAUGUGUUUGUAUGUCCAUGUGUGGGUUUGUGCUCAUGAAUGCAGUUCCUAGAGAGGCCAGAAGAAGGCAUAAGAUCUCCUGCCCUGGAGUUACAGGCAGUUGUGACUCAUCCACUCUGAGUGCUGGAAAACAAAUUCUGGUCUUCUGCAAAAGCAGAUGCUUAACUGACUUUGAAAGGUAGAAAAGGAGGAUUCUACAGUCAACUUUUUAAAGCACAGAGGGAGACAAAGGUAAACUGUCUCCUGUGUUCCACCUCUAGGCCUUGGGAUCUACCAGGUAUCAUUUUCCAAACCCCUUUCCCCUC